Molecule: ribosomal RNA, 376 nt
Filed under: Fibrobacter succinogenes
Lineage: Bacteria; Pseudomonadati; Fibrobacterota; Fibrobacteria; Fibrobacterales; Fibrobacteraceae
Description: bacterial SSU rRNA
Rfam family: Bacterial small subunit ribosomal RNA
Source: RNAcentral
CCAAGGCGACGAUCGGUAGCCGGCCUGAGAGGGUGAUCGGCCACAUUGGGACUGAGAUACGGCCCAGACUCCUACGGGAGGCAGCAGUAGGGAAUAUUGCACAAUGGGGGAAACCCUGAUGCAGCAACGCCACGUGUGGGAAGAAGCAUUUCGGUGUGUAAACCACUGUCAUGAGGGAAUAAGGCCCGCCUUCGGACGGGAUUGAAUGUACCUUGAAAGGAAGCACCGGCAAACUUCGUGCCAGCAGCCGCGGUAAUACGAGGGGUGCAAGCGUUGUUCGGAAUUACUGGGCGUAAAGGGAGCGUAGGCGGAGAUUCAAGCGGAUUGUACAAUCCCGGGGCCCAACCCCGGCUCUGCAGUCCGAACUGGAUCUCUU